Elaeis guineensis (African oil palm) is the source of this 2894-nucleotide RNA transcript. It is a transcript of the gene named homeobox protein BEL1 homolog, with no coding region annotated. The record is from RefSeq and is a predicted model, not a curated record. NCBI's taxonomy places the organism in Eukaryota, Viridiplantae, Streptophyta, Magnoliopsida, Arecales, Arecaceae.
UAGUUGGGAAUAGAGGACCACUUGUCUUCCCCCCACCUCGGUCGGCGCCAGCCCCUAUAUUCAGAAUAUAAUUCUACUGGUAGGAGAGGAGUAGCAGUGAUAUAUACAAAUCUCCAAAAUCCCAAUCCAUCUCUGUCCUCUUGUGAAAGAAAGAGGAGGGCCACCAGAAGCCCAUCUGAGAAAAGAUUUUAAGUGUGGAAGAGAAGAGAGACAGAGGGAGCACGGAGAGAAAGAGAAAGGGAAAGGGAAAAAAGAAAAAGAAAAGAGAGAAAAAAAAAAACUCAUUUUGGAGGAGUUGGGAUUCUAGCCAAUCCCAGUUCAGCCACCCUUUCCACCAAAGAGAAAGGAAAGAACAAUUUAUUGAAGUCGGGCAGUGAUAAGUGUGAAAGAAGAGAGAAAAGAGGGGGGUAGCCUCCUUAAGUUAGAAGGACCAAGAUCUCUUUCCCAGCUUUUUCUUUUUUUCUUUUCUUUUGUUUCUUUUGCUUUCCUUUGGUUCUCCUUUUACUUCCUCGGGAAGUAGAGCUCAUCCCAAGGUCUCUCCUUCGCCUUUCUAAAGCCACUACUUAUAGGGUUCACUACAUGGUUGUUUUUUCGCUUGUAAAGGUGCACUAUAUGGUUGUUUUUUUUAAAUAUAUAUAAGGUUCCCUAUACGGUUGCUCUCCUCUCUCUCUCUCUCUCUGGGGAAUCCAUUGAAAGGAGGCCUUCUUCUAUAUCUUUGUGGCUGUGAUCAAUCCUAGAGCUUUUAUAUGAUGGCCCAUGAGUCCCACUAUGCUGAAUUCUACGCCGGCGGCCACCCGGCGAUACAAAGCUUCGAGCCCAACCACGACCUCUUCGGCCCCCAAGGAGGGAUGGAGAUGUUGGGACCCCCUUCCAAGCACCCAAGCUCCAACCUUGGGAGAGGUUUCAUCCCCCCAGGCUUCCUUGAGGCAUCGAACAAGAACUUUAUGUUCUCGACGGAGGCGGCGGCACCGACAAGCCCAUGGCAGGUAGAUGACUCCUCUUUGAGGUCUCUGUUUCCCUGCCAAGGGGCCGAGCAGCCCGGUGGGAGGCUAUUACUCUCUCUCUUCAACCCGAAGCCCUCCGACGCCAUCGGUGUUCCCCAGUCCUUCCAUCAGAGUGAUUCCAGGGAUGUAUUGCUUUCAAGAGCAGAAAGUUCUCAUCAGCAGCAGGUGUUCAUGCAGGAAGGGAGGGUUUUUAAUUCACAGCAGCCCUUUCAGCUGAAGAAUUCCAAGUACUUGAUCCCAGCUAAGGAGCUUUUGAAUGAAUUCUGUAGUUUAGGAGGAGAGAUCAGCUCAAAAAAGAGGUCCCAGAAGGCAAGCCAAGGGGAAGAAGGUGGGCCUUCUUCUUCCUCUUCUUCUCUGUGGAACCAGUCCCUAAACUCCAUGGACCUCUUGGAGCUCCAGAGGAGGAAGGCUAAGCUGCUUUCCAUGCUAGAAGAGGUGGAUAGGGGAUACAGAAAAUACUGCAAGCAGAUGAGGGUGGUGGUGUCAUCUUUUGAGGCCGUGGCCGGGGAAGGAGCAGCCACAGUCUAUUCGAGGUUGGCUUCCAAGGCAAUGUCGAGGCACUUUCGAUGCCUGAGAGAUGGAAUUGUCGGUCAGAUACGAGCGAUGAAGAAGGCGAUCGGAGAGAAGGACAGCAUCGCACUGGGGACUACAAGAGGUGAGACGCCAAGGCUCAAGCUGCUCGACCAGUGCCUGCGACAGGAGAAGGCGUUUCAGCAGGCAGGGAUGAUGGAGAGCCACCCUUGGCGACCCCAGAGAGGCCUUCCAGAGCGUUCUGUUACCAUUCUUCGAGCUUGGCUCUUCGAGCAUUUCCUUCACCCGUAUCCCAGCGAUGUCGAUAAACACAUCUUAGCCCGGCAAACCGGACUCUCGAGAAGCCAGGUCUCCAAUUGGUUUAUAAAUGCAAGGGUGAGGCUUUGGAAGCCAAUGAUAGAGGAGAUGUACUCCCAAGAGAUGAAUGAACACAACAACCAGUCCUCCCAUGCAGCAACUUCACAUGAAGAUAACACCAACCGUAACCCUAACCAUAACUUCAGCCUUAAUCAGAAGCCAGCACCAGGGCAGCUGCUCAAUGACUCCGAUUCGCUCUCAUCGAUCAUCAACAGCAGCCACCACAGCGAUGAAAAAGCUACAAUAAAUGUCAAAACUUCCCAAGAUCACAAUCCAGAGCAUCAGGUUCCCAGGACUGAGAGCUUCGGUGCCGUCGGCCGGGACAUCUCCUCCUACAGCAGCUGUGGCAAUCAAAACUUGCGCAGCGGCGUGUCCUUAACACUGGGCCUUCAGCAGAACAGUGGGGUAGGCAUGAGCCUAUCAUUCUCACCUGCCUCUCAGCAUUCUCUCCUCUUCUCCAGAGAACAUAUGGACGAUGGCCAACAGGUGCAGUUCAGCAUUUUAGAUGGGGAGGCACGGAGCCUUCCCUACAGGAACAUGAUGGGAGCUCAGCUGCUGCAUGACUUGGCAGGAUAGAGGAUAAAGAAGGCAUGCCAUCUGCAUGGUUAGAAUAGAAACAUACUGGCUCUAGCAAUGGACAAAUAUUUUGUUCCAGUAAGGAGCUACCAUGAUGAUGAAGAAUAGUUACAACUCAAUUCUUGUCAAGCUUGACUCAAUUCAGACUAAGCAGCCAAGUUUGAACAAGGGUAUACAUGGGUAUUUGGGCAGGGUUAGGCCUAAAAGCCUGAAGUUGGAGCUCAGGCCCAACCCGUACAACAAAGACAUAGUGUUCCUGGCCUAAGCCCAAUCCAAGGUAAGACAGUUCUCAGGACCGGCCAGCCCCAAAUCUGGGAUUAAAAGAAAUUCUUUGUGCACUGCCCGCGGUGUAGAAAAUCUGAUAUGGAGUGCAUUGCUUCAUCUUAUUGGAUCAUAUAGUUGCUAUUUUUCAACGCACAUUUAAUA